RNAcentral lists this ribosomal RNA (306 nucleotides) under Triticum aestivum (bread wheat). RNAcentral describes it as "partial small subunit ribosomal RNA". Lineage: Eukaryota; Viridiplantae; Streptophyta; Magnoliopsida; Poales; Poaceae. The record is from RNAcentral.
AUGCAAGGAAUGGCGUUAGCAAUGCAGCACUGUAAUCUUCCAAUCAUCGUUCAAUCCGACUCCUCACAAGCUCUUUUGGCUUUGACGGGUGAAAGUCUCUCCCGUUCGGCAUAUGGUCAUUUAGUUGCUGAGAUUCGUCAUCUUAUGGGUGAAAGAGAGUUUGUUCCUUUAAAAAUAAAGCGAGAACAGAAUAGGGUAGCAGAUCGUUUGGCUAUGUAUAGUCGUAGAGAGAGUACUACAGCUGUAUGGCUUGGGCAGGGCCCUCCUUGUAUCGAGGAGCUUUUGCAUUUGAUUGUAACCCUAUAA